GCAGUAUGAGUUGAACUCCUAACUACCUGGCGCUCUUUUGACCAAUCACUGUCUAAGGGCCCUGUAUAAAAGCAGCUAGCUGUCCCCCUUCCGCCCUCUCUUGCUCGUUGGUGACGGAAGUCCUCUACACUUCGGUCGCUCACUCCGUGAGGUGUUUUGCUGUGCUACAGAUCUUCGGUUGGCGGGUUGUCCUUCACCUUACCGGUUGAACGGCCGUGAAUGAAAAGCGAGUAACACUGAUAGCUGCUGCGGUUUGCAUGAUCGGAGCUGCCUCCCUCUGGGUCUACUAAAACUCUGCUUGAACGGAACACUGAAGCUGCCGGAGAUCCCUGUUAGCUGCUUAGCACUUCAACUACAGGCUGCUGUUUUGCCGAGGCUGCUGUUUUGCCUAAGAAGGCUUUUGCCGGGAUUGCUGCUGUCCUUUAAAAAUCCUGAGUAUCGUAACUAUUGCUGCACGCCUGUGUUGCCUUUAGGGCUACUGGGCCAAUGUAUAAACCACCUGUUUUUAUAUGAAUGAAUGUAUGUAGCUGAGGGGUUUGGCUCCCUACAUUAAUUUGGUUGAUUUAGUUGUUUCUUUCUUUACUUUCUUUCCAUUUUUUUCAAUUUAGUUAAAAGUUUUAGUUAUAUUUUUUUUCUU
Perca fluviatilis (European perch) is the source of this 637-nucleotide long non-coding RNA. RefSeq lists it as uncharacterized. NCBI's taxonomy places the organism in Eukaryota, Metazoa, Chordata, Actinopteri, Perciformes, Percidae. The transcript is spliced from 3 exons. The record is from RefSeq and is a predicted model, not a curated record.